Molecule: ribosomal RNA, 497 nt
Filed under: uncultured bacterium
Lineage: Bacteria
Description: partial 16S ribosomal RNA
Rfam family: Bacterial small subunit ribosomal RNA
Source: RNAcentral
GACGAACGCUGGCGGCGUGCCUAAUACAUGCAAGUUGAGCGAUGAAGAUUGGUGCUUGCCCCAAUUUGAAGAGCAGCGAACGGGUGAGUAACGCGUGGGGAAUCUGCCUUUGUGCGGGGGACAACAUUUGGAAACGAAUGCUAAUACCGCAUAACAACUUUAAACAUAAGUUUUAAGUUUGAAAGAUGCAAUUGCAUCACUCAAAGAUGAUCCCGCGUUGUAUUAGCUAGUUGGUGAGGUAAAGGCUCACCAAGGCGAUGAUACAUAGCCGACCUGAGAGGGUGAUCGGCCACAUUGGGACUGAGACACGGCCCAAACUCCUACGGGAGGCAGCAGUAGGGAAUCUUCGGCAAUGGACGAAAGUCUGACCGAGCAACGCCGCGUGAGUGAAGAAGGUUUUCGGAUCGUAAAACUCUGUUGGUAGAGAAGAACGUUGGUGAGAGUGGAAAGCUCAUCAAGUGACGGUAACUACCCAGAAAGGGACGGCUAACUACGUG